AUGUAAGAAUUUUCUUCGUAAUUAAAGAGGGAUUGUUUGUGAUUUUUUUUCCGUUUUAUAUCGAAUUUGAAAUUGAAGAGAAAGUAAUGAAACGGCUACUGUUUCUUUCGUUGUUAUUUGCGACCACGUAUAUUCUUACUGUUCACGGCCAAGGCGGAAAUCCUGGUGCCCCGCCUGGAGGUCCCGGCGCACCAGGUGCUGGUGUCACAGAUGGUGGUGGUGAAUCAUGCUACUGCUGUUGUGAUCCAUCUUCAACUGAACCAUCGUGCUGUUAUCCAGAUUGUUGUUUGUAAGAUAAUAGAUAUGUUACCAAGCCAUGGACAAACAUAGAUGAAUGCAAAAUCAAUGUAUUGGUAUCGACGUUGAAAGCAGAAAAGUUUAUUCUAAUGUAAAAAUAAUAUUUAUUGGAACUCGUGUAAUAAAAGAGGGAUAUUUGUUGAA
Molecule: long non-coding RNA, 441 nt
Organism: Mytilus californianus (California mussel)
Lineage: Eukaryota; Metazoa; Mollusca; Bivalvia; Mytilida; Mytilidae
Exons: 3
Source: RefSeq, a predicted model, not a curated record